UACGUAGGUGGCAAGCGUUAUCCGGAUUUAUUGGGCGUAAAGGGAACGCAGGCGGUCUUUUAAGUCUGAUGUGAAAGCCUUCGGCUUAACCGGAGUAGUGCAUUGGAAGCUGGGAGACUUGAGUGCAGAAGAGGAGAGUGGAACUCCAUGUGUAGCGGUGAAAUGCGUAGAUACAUGGAAGAACACCAGUGGCGAAAGCGGCUCUCUGGUCUGUAACUGACGCUGAGGUUCGAAAGCGUGGGUAGCAAACAGG
Molecule: ribosomal RNA, 253 nt
Filed under: uncultured bacterium
Lineage: Bacteria
Description: partial 16S ribosomal RNA
Rfam family: Bacterial small subunit ribosomal RNA
Source: RNAcentral